GAGUUUGAUCAUGGCUCAGGAUGAACGCCGGCGGUGUGCCUAAUACAUGCAAGUCGUACGCACUGGCCCAACUGAUUGAUGGUGCUUGCACCUGAUCGACGAUGGAUCACCAGUGAGUGGCGGACGGGUGAGUAACACGUAGGUAACCUGCCCUGUACAGGGGAUAACAAUCAGAAAUGACUGCUAAUACCGCAUAAGACCACAGCACCGCAUGGUGCAGGGGUAAAAACUCCGGUGGUACAGGAUGGACCCGCGUCUGAUUAGCUGGUUGGUGAGGUAACGGCUCACCAAGGCGACGAUCAGUAGCCGGCUUGAGAGAGUGAACGGCCACAUUGGGACUGAGACACGGCCCAAAACUCCUACGGGAGGCAGCAGUGGGGAAUAUUGCACAAUGGGGAAACCCUGAUGCAGCAACGCCGCGUGAGUGAAGAAGUAUUUCGGUAUGUAAAGCUCUAUCAGCAGGGAAGAAAGUGACGGUACCUGACUAAGAAGCCCCGGCU
RNAcentral lists this ribosomal RNA (500 nucleotides) under uncultured microorganism. Its description in RNAcentral is "bacterial SSU rRNA". It matches the Rfam family "Bacterial small subunit ribosomal RNA", at positions 9 to 498 of the family's 1533-position model. The record is from RNAcentral.